Gossypium arboreum is the source of this 621-nucleotide long non-coding RNA. RefSeq lists it as uncharacterized. The record is from RefSeq and is a predicted model, not a curated record. Lineage: Eukaryota; Viridiplantae; Streptophyta; Magnoliopsida; Malvales; Malvaceae. The transcript has 2 exons.
AUUUGGUCAUUAUUUUCCAUUUUAAGGGAAAAAUUACUCGGUGUGUUACCAAACCCAAACUCACGGAUAGGUGAGACCAUCAUAAGCCGCCUACUUUCUUUUCUGCUGUGUCUGCAUUCGAGUUUCCCACUCCCCCUUGUACCUGUAAGAAUAAAGACAAAGCCGCCCCGUUUAUGGAUCAUUAAAAAUGUUGUCUUGAUGGAAAAUAUUUGCAAUUAAGCUGCUAAAAAGACAAAAUUCAACAAGGUAUAUGAAGGAGUGAGAGCUUAGGUGGUUCAAUCAGAAUGGAUGCUUGCAAUUGCAUUGAGCCGCAAUGGCCGCCAGAUGAUCUGUUAAUGAAAUAUCAAUAUAUUUCCGACUUCUUCAUUGCGCUUGCUUAUUUCUCAACUCCUCCAGAGCUUAUUAACUUGUGGACUUUUACAAUGCAUACGAGAACCGUGGCAAUGGCAAUGACGACUGCUGUGGUAUCACGUGCAACUGCCUUGAUGCUGGUACAUAUUAUUCCUGAUGUAUUGAGUGUCAAAACCCGAGAAUUAUUUUUGAAAAUUAAGGCCGCCGAGCUCGAUAGAGAAAUGGGUCUAAUUCGUACACAAGAGGAAACAUGAGAAUUAUUUUUCAAAA